This 72-nucleotide transfer RNA is filed under the name Clonostachys rosea f. rosea IK726. It matches the Rfam family "tRNA". Rfam says of the family: Transfer RNA (tRNA) molecules are approximately 80 nucleotides in length. Their secondary structure includes four short double-helical elements and three loops (D, anti-codon, and T loops). The record is from RNAcentral. Lineage: Eukaryota; Fungi; Ascomycota; Sordariomycetes; Hypocreales; Bionectriaceae.
AGGGGAUUAGUUCAGUGGUAGAACGGUUGUAUUACACGCAAAGGGUGAGAGGUUCGAUUCCUUUAUCCCUCA